Molecule: transfer RNA, 32 nt
Filed under: Phragmites australis (common reed)
Lineage: Eukaryota; Viridiplantae; Streptophyta; Magnoliopsida; Poales; Poaceae
Description: partial tRNA-Thr
Source: RNAcentral
GCCCACUUAGCUCAGAGGUUAGAGCAUCGCAU